AGUGAACGCUGGCGGUAGGCCUAACACAUGCAAGUCGAACGGCAGCACAGUAAGAGCUUGCUCUUACGGGUGGCGAGUGGCGGACGGGUGAGGAAUACAUCGGAAUCUACUUUUUUGUGGGGGAUAACGUAGGGAAACUUACGCUAAUACCGCAUACGACCUACGGGUGAAAGCAGGGGAUCUUCGGACCUUGCGCGAUUGAAUGAGCCGAUGUCGGAUUAGCUAGUUGGCGGGGUAAAGGCCCACCAAGGCGACGAUCCGUAGCUGGUCUGAGAGGAUGAGCAGCCACACUGGAACUGAGACACGGUCCAGACUCCUACGGGAGGCAGCAGUGGGGAAUAUUGGACAAUGGGCGCAAGCCUGAUCCAGCCAUACCGCGUGGGUGAAGAAGGCCUUCGGGUUGUAAAGCCCUUUUGUUGGGAAAGAAAAGCAGCAGGUUAAUACCCCGCUGUUCUGACGGUACCCAAAGAAUAAGCACCGGCUAACUUCGUG
This 492-nucleotide ribosomal RNA is filed under the name uncultured bacterium. RNAcentral describes it as "partial 16S ribosomal RNA". It matches the Rfam family "Bacterial small subunit ribosomal RNA", at positions 29 to 507 of the family's 1533-position model. The record is from RNAcentral.